RNAcentral lists this ribosomal RNA (495 nucleotides) under uncultured bacterium. RNAcentral describes it as "partial 16S ribosomal RNA". It matches the Rfam family "Bacterial small subunit ribosomal RNA", at positions 28 to 507 of the family's 1533-position model. The record is from RNAcentral.
GAUGAACGCUGGCGGCGUGCUUAACACAUGCAAGUCGAACGAAGCACCUCUCCCGAAGAUUGACACAGCUUGCUGUAGAUUGAUUCAUUUGAGGUGACUGAGCGGCGGACGGGUGAGUAACGCGUGGGUAACCUGCCUCAUAGAGGGGGACAACAGUUGGAAACGACUGCUAAUACCGCAUAGUAAGAAGAAUUCGCAUGUUUUCUUCUUGAAAGAUUUAUCGCUAUGAGAUGGACCCGCGUCUGAUUAGCUAGUUGGUAAGGUAACGGCUUACCAAGGCGACGAUCAGUAGCCGGCUUGAGAGAGUGAACGGCCACAUUGGGACUGAGACACGGCCCAAACUCCUACGGGAGGCAGCAGUGGGGAAUAUUGCACAAUGGGGGAAACCCUGAUGCAGCGACGCCGCGUGAGUGAAGAAGUAUUUCGGUAUGUAAAGCUCUAUCAGCAGGGAAGAUAAUGACGGUACCUGACGAAGAAGCCCCGGCUAACUACGUG